Molecule: ribosomal RNA, 441 nt
Filed under: uncultured bacterium
Lineage: Bacteria
Description: partial 16S ribosomal RNA
Rfam family: Bacterial small subunit ribosomal RNA
Source: RNAcentral
UCUACGGGUGGCAGCAGUGGGGAAUAUUGGACAAUGGGGGAAACCCUGAUGGAGCGACGCCGCGUGAGCGAGGAAGUAUUUCGGUAUGUAAAGCUCUAUUAGCAGGGAAGAAAAAAGACGGUAGUAGACUAAGAAGCCCCGACUAACUACGUGCCAGCAGCCGCGGUAAUACGUAGGGGGCAAGCGUUAUCCGGAUGUACUGGGUGUAAAGGGAGCGUAGACGGUAAGGCAAGACUGAAGUGAAAGGGCAGGGCUCAACCCUGGACAUUCUUUGGGAACUGGGGUGCGAGAGUGCAGGAGAGGUGAGUGGAAUUCCUAGUGUAGCGGUGAAAUGCGUAGAUAUAUGGAGGAACACCAGUGGCGAAGGCGGCUUACUGGACUGUAACUGACGUUGAGGCUCGAAAGCGUGGGGAGCAAACAGGAUUAGAUACCCGAGUAGUC